UUUACCCAUGGCAAUUUGGUGACUUCUUGAAAGGUAGUAAGACUUAGGAAAGUCCAUAGUAACACUGGACCCCAGGCUCAUUCAGUCAUAUAUGUGGCUUCCCUAGACCUGCUAUAUGUUGUGAGAAGACACUGUGCUGUAACGUCAUGUCAGCAGCAUGUGUGGAUUAGAACCAGUUUUAGUUGACAACAUCCAAAACAAGACUGGCCGCCAGUGUCCUUUUGGGCUCCCUCCGUGACGUCCGUUGUCCUGCUAUGUUAUGAUGACCACUAGUGUACUGUGUGGCAGACUGUGCUGAAGAGAAAUGCUGUGGUGGCACUGAGAAUCAAGGCUGCAAGCCCAGUGUGUAGAACCUGUGCAGCAGAUGGGAGGGAGCCAACAGGAGAGCUUUGCUGCAACAACAGAUCACAGGAAGCUCAAACAUGUCCCUGCCUUGUCCAAACCAUCACAACACCGGAGAUGUGGACGCAGCGCUCACUUGUAAAGAUGGGAACAGUAGUGGCCGCAGAGCUGUCAGUACUACAGAAGGUGUCUAAUGAAGAGGACCCUCAUGAACUGUCCUGUGACACAGUCCGUAGCUGUGAGGUGUUCACACACAAACAUAGGGAACGAAGGCCCAUUAGUCAGACUUCAGCAGACAGACGGGACCUCACACCUGUCUCAGGCAUGACUGCACUGUUCUACACCAACUGGAACUGAACCAACAAGACGCAAACCACCAGGCUGGGGUUUAAACUACAAACACUUGGGGCAGAGACUUCAGAACUCACAACACAAACACUGGUGUCUGAGGGGAAAGGGACUGAGGAAUAUCAGUUCUGGCGGGGGAAAGAAUUGGCUUGCGAUCAGUAGAUCUCCUGUAUUCAGUAGAAACACUUCUUCUGUUUGAUAAAUACAGCAUCAAAACUGG
Molecule: long non-coding RNA, 910 nt
Organism: Branchiostoma floridae (Florida lancelet)
Lineage: Eukaryota; Metazoa; Chordata; Leptocardii; Amphioxiformes; Branchiostomatidae
Exons: 3
Source: RefSeq, a predicted model, not a curated record